Peromyscus maniculatus bairdii (prairie deer mouse) is the source of this 3120-nucleotide non-coding RNA. NCBI's taxonomy places the organism in Eukaryota, Metazoa, Chordata, Mammalia, Rodentia, Cricetidae. The record is from RefSeq and is a predicted model, not a curated record.
GAAAGUGAGCUCACCAGAGACACAGGGCUUAUCCAGAAUAUAGACUUCUUGGAUUCACAAUCAGGAUGAUCAGAAUCCUCACCCAUCUUCCUGAAGUCACUCUAUGGUGUCACUUUUAACCAAUAUGGCUUCCCUUGUUUUCCUGCUAUUUCUGUCCUCAACUCCUACCUUCUCCUGAAAGCCCAUGAUCUCAAACCACAAACUCAGCCCUUGGAGAAGAUGCUGACAUUUCUCACCCUGACUCCUGACCACGUAGGCUGCACUUUCUCAGCCGCUGCCCUUAUGGACCCAGUUAACAAUUUCCUCCAAAGUUAUUUUUUAUUGUUGUUUUUAUUUUUUGUUUAUGUAGUUACUCAUUUAUUUUUGAGAUAAGGUCUCACUAUGUGGCCUUAGCUGACCUGGAACUCUCUAUGGAGCCUAAGCUGGCCUGGAUCCUGCUUGCUGCUGCCUCCUCCAUUUGGCAUAAAAGGUCCAUUUUCUGUGGAACCCCUGUCAGGGUGGACCUGUGCCUUCUAACAUUCUCAUGGCUGCAAGUACACAAAUGUCCUUUCUCACCUCCUCUCGCUUGCCGGGGGAGAGUGCAGUCUUGCCAAAGGCCACAGGAAGUCCAUUCUGUGGGUAUUUUCAUCAUGCCAGCCACACUCCUGUGGGACAAAAGAACCUCCCUCAGACCCUCCAAUCCCAAGGUCACACACAGUGCCUCAGGCAAGUGCCCUUGUCAGGUCUGAAAAAACACUAAUAAAAGUGUCCAUUCAAUCAACCAGAAUACCUCCUUGUCCUGCCCCUCCCCCCUCCUGGAGAAGACUGUCCCUCCUCUCACCAAGUCCUUCACAGUCCUCUCUGCAGUCACAAUGGGGGGAGGUCCUAAUGGGCUCCUCAAGGGUUCCAUCUGCACUAGGGAAUAACAGUCCUGGCACCUCAGUGCCAGAUUCCUGCCUGUUGAUAUUUCCUUCAUACUACAACUUCCUCACUUCUCAGUGUGACUUCUUGCACUGUCCCUGAUUCCUUAGGAGUAUUCUUCCUGUGUGGAUGUAAUGCCUUGUCUUCUGAGAUGUGGGAAGAUAUUUCCACCACUGUGCUAAUAAGUCCUGAUCUCUAACUUCCCUGGAACAACCAACUUCCUGCUUUCAUUUUUGAGGUGUCCCCCCCCCCCCCCCCCGCAGAGUUUCUCUGUGUAGCUUUGCACCUUUCCUGGAUCUCACUCUGUAGCCCAGGCUGGCCUCAAACUCACAAAGAUCCUCCUGCCUCUGCCUCCCAAGUGCUGGGAUGAAAGGUGUGCGCCACUGCCCGGCCAUUUUUGAGAUAUUAAGAGUUGUUCAUCUAUACUCCUUUUUUUUUUAAUAUUUAUUUGUUAUGUAUACAGUGUUCUGUCUACAUAUAUGCCUACAGGCCAGAAGAGGGCCCAGAUCUCAUUACAGAUGGCAGUAAGCCACCACAUGGUUGCUGGGAAUUGAACUCUAGCCCUCUGGAAGAGCAGCCAGUGUUCUUACCCUCUGAGCCAUCUCUCCGUCUAUACUCCUCUUAAUCUUCUUAUACUUAUAUAAGCUCAUGCAUGGUCCCAAGCCUGAGCAUGCUCGCGCACACUAACACACACAGACAUACACACACACACACACACACACACACAUCCUUGCUGUCAGCAUGGCAUUGCUGGCUUUCCUUUCUAGCCUCAUUGUUCCCUGUGGUCUAUGACUCUGUGAGCAUGGCUGUUUCUUUCCUCUGAAUACCUAGCAAAGGUCACAUGAUGGUUCCCAUUGCUGCUCGUUUUUAUUCUCAUUUUCCCAGGAUGGAUUUGGUUGCUGCCUGGAAUACACCCAGAAAACUCUGUCACUUUCAAGGCAUCUCUACAGUCCCCAUCAACACAGAUGUCUGAGGCCAGCCUGGGAUUCCUCCUCAGAAUCCAAGUCCACACCUGGAUUUGACGCUCUAAUUUCUGGUGGCUUGCUCACUGCACAGAUUACUAUGCAAACUCAAGACCUCAGAAGCCCCAGACUACUGCUUUGAAUACUAGGGAAAGAAUGUAAAGAACCCCAGGGGAGUUCAGCAUCUCACUCAGGCAGUGUUGGAUUGCCAGGUGCUGCAGGAAGCAGCAGUGUUGGUUCACUUGCAGAACAAAGAAAAUCCAUGUCCUGGUAAGGGCUGAGGGGACUGACUCCUGAGGAACUGUUUGCUUCUUCCCUGCACUGUCUUCAGAGGUGGCAACCGGCCAGCCACCUUCCUCCCUCUUCAGCACUUACUUUUACAGUCUGCAGAGCUGCUGAGCAUGAAGACACUGUGGUCACACCAACAGGCCACCUCUCACACAGGAACCUCUCUCUGGAUUCCCUGGUGUUCAAACUUCACUCCAAGGCCCAGAGCCAGCUCAGGGCAGCCUCAUGGACCACAACAGGCAGAGCAGCCAUGGGCUCCCCUGGGCAACUGGGGUGGUUGAGAGCUGGGAGCUGGGUGAGCAAAGGCACCACGGGCAGCCAGGAUGAAGAGAGUGAAGUCCUCCCUGCUGUCAUCUGUGACCUGAGCUUCUGAGUCCUUGUCCUCCUCUGGGACAGCUACAGGCAUCAGAGUCUGCUGGGCUCCCGGGUGUCCACAGCCAGCUCCUGCAGCUGGAUGCACUGGUGAGACUCAGCACCCUGCAUACUGCACUGCACAAGGUGGGCUGUUCAUGGCCUUUUGUUGGAUUGGUGGCUCUCCUGAAGCUGUGUAGGAGCUAAAGAUGCCUGCAGGCCUGCCAUGGAGUCUCAGGGACAUCUCUCUCUCACUUGCUGAAAUUGUAGGGACCCAGAGCUGGAAAUCUAGUGAGGGUGAACUCAGCAGAGGUUCUUACUGGAGGAGCAGCCUGAGGUCCCCCAGGUCUACAGUAAACUGAAUCCAAGGUGUUGGGAGAAGUGUCCUCUGGUUUGGGUCUCAUACAAUCCAGGGAAUGGAGACCCUCAGCUCCCUGGAUUGUGCUCCUGGCUGUGGUGAACUCCUUCCUGUAGUGCAGUGGGCCACAAGAAUAUAUUAUAGAGAUUCAGCUGUAUAUAAGAAGUUAUACCUUCAUUGUCCAAGGAGUCCUUUAAGAGGAAGCCAUUUAUCAAGGAAUAUUUGAUGUUAUUUAGCUUCAAAUAUAUAUCUGCCAUCUUC